AUUAAGCCAUGCAUGUCUCAGUGCAAGCCAAAUUAAGGUGAAACCGCGAAUGGCUCAUUAAAUCAGUUAUGGUUCCUUAGAUCGUACCACAUUACUUGGAUAACUGUGGUAAUUCUAGAGCUAAUACAUGCAAACAGAGUCCCGACCAGAAGUGGAAGGGACGCUUUUAUUAGAUCAAAACCAAUCGGUCGGCUUGUCCGGUCCGUUUGCCUUGGUGACUCUGAAUAACUUUGGGCUGAUCGCACGGUCCUGGAACCGGCGACGCAUCUUUCAAAUGUCUGCCUUAUCAACUGUCGAUGGUAGGUUCUGCGCCUACCAUGGUUGUAACGGGUAACGGGGAAUCAGGGUUCGAUUCCGGAGAGGGAGCCUGAGAAACGGCUACCACAUCCAAGGAAGGCAGCAGGCGCGCAAAUUACCCACUCCCGGCACGGGGAGGUAGUGACGAAAAAUAACGAUACGGGACUCAUCCGAGGCCCCGUAAUCGGAAUGAGUACACUUUAAAUCCUUUAACGAGUAUCCAUUGGAGGGCAAGUCUGGUGCCAGCAGCCGCGGUAAUUCCAGCUCCAAUAGCGUAUAUUAAAGUUGUUGCGGUUAAAAAGCUCGUAGUUGGACUUGUGUCCCACGCUGUCGGUUCAUCGCUCGUCGGUGUCUAACUGGCAUGGCUCGUGGGACGUCCUGCCGGUGGUGGCGAGUCGAAAGCGCGCACCCGUCGCGGAUUUCCGUUGACGGUUCUUGCGCGUCGUAGGCGGACCCCGAUGAAAUCCUACCGCGGUGCUCUUCGCCGAGUGUCGAGGUGGGCCGGCACGUUUACUUUGAACAAAUUAGAGUGCUUAAAGCAGGCCUGACGCGCCUGAAUACUGUGUGCAUGGAAUAAUGGAAUAGGACCUCGGUUCUAUUUUGUUGGUUUUCGGAACCCGAGGUAAUGAUUAAUAGGGACAGGCGGGGGCAUUCGUAUUGCGACGUUAGAGGUGAAAU
RNAcentral lists this ribosomal RNA (975 nucleotides) under Kinkiconocephalopsis koyasanensis. RNAcentral's name for it is "SSU rRNA". It matches the Rfam family "Eukaryotic small subunit ribosomal RNA", at positions 43 to 917 of the family's 1831-position model. The record is from RNAcentral. Lineage: Eukaryota; Metazoa; Arthropoda; Insecta; Orthoptera; Tettigoniidae.